GCCGGGGAGACCAUGUUGGUGAUGGGCGGAGAGGCGGGGCCGACGGCCCGAGGCGGCCGGGCUGACAGGGCGCGUGCGCAAAGAGCUUCGGCGCAUUUACUCGCAGGGGAGCUGUAGCUUGAGGUCUACGUUUGCCUUUCGUGCAAACUCUUUCUCCCUGGUGAAAAAAAGAGUGUGCAGGAGGAGAAGGGAAGGGGGUGGGGGUCCCAUUUCCGGGAGAGAAGAUCGGAAAAAGGUCCACGGAAACUUAGCCGCUAACUCACUGCUGUGGGACAAGGGUCCCACUCUCUUUGGGCCUCGGUCUUCUCAUUGGUAAUAUGGGUAAUUUUGCACGAGCUUAGUGUAUCGAAAAUGGUCCUGUCGGAGUACUCAUAACUGCCAGAGUUUAUGCUACCUGGCGAAUCCUGGGAUCGGGAAAUCUCUUGUCUUGAGUUACAUGUUAAAGGUAACCCUUUCCUUCCCUUCUCCCAGUCCUGUGCUUAAGUAUCCAGUCUACAGCUCUGCCUUUUCAACAUUUUCACCAUUCACGCGUGAAGUUGAGGUGCUUACCCCUUGGGAAGAUGCACUACCUUUGUGUCCUGGACCUUCAGCCCCAGUUCUGGAAACAGCGAUCAGAUCACCACUGACCAAGACAGAGUUCCUUGCCCCAGCGUGUGAGGAGCCUGCCUUCUCCCCACUCCUCUGCGUGAGACCCAAGAGGAAGUUUUGAUUUCGCUCACAGCAUGUAUCUGACCAAAGAAUGUCUUGGAAGUUGCCCAACUCUAUGCCAGCACUUUUAAGUCUUUCCUUAGAACUGCCUGGGGAUGGCCCUCAGGGAUCCCAGGACCCCUGUCCAACUGUCCCACUGGCUGCAUCGACAAACCACUGUUUCUCCAGCUGAGGGGUUAUGAGAGGGCCUGGGAAGCGGUCCAAGGGUGUUCAGGCGACAGAGAAAGAAGGUGGGGCCGACGUCCAGGCCCUCAGCACCCAGAGCAUGGUCCCCACCUCCUGAGUCACUACUGACACUGCAGCAGGACUGAAGGUCAGAUUGGGCCCCGCCAGUCUUGAGUGCUGAUCAAGGAGGAGGUGAGGAAAUAGCAUCGUGGAGAGGUCACAUGACUUGCAGAAUGGAAGUGGCAGAACCUGAGCUCAGGACAUUACUCAAAAUGGGACUGUGGCACCAUGGCGUUUGUUUUUCCUAGGCUCUGGCAUUUCCUCAGUGUGAUAUUUCCUCCAGGGUGUGAUGCCUCCCCCAACCAAGAUGGCAGCCUCAUCUCCAUGGCAACCCCCAGAGACUUUGCCUUGGGGACCCAGUUGCAAAUUGCAAAGCCCCUUUCCUGAAGCCUGGACCAGCAAGGUCUCUGUUUGAAGAUGGGGUCUGCGGGCCCCAUGGCUGGAAACUCUCGGCUCACCCCACCUCUGUACACUCUAGCUGGCACUGCAGCUGGCCCUGAUCAGACUUGGUGAGAGGAGGUUUCCCCUGAGUCAACAAUCUCACUUCUCUGUUCUUCUCAUGCACCUUCCAGAAGGACCUCAAGCUCUCCAGGGGCAAGAUGGAACAGCUGGCCCUGACCCCCGCUGGAUCAGCCAGGCUCAUUUUUCUGGAUCUCCCAUCCCAAAGCUUGCUCUACCCAAGGACCGUUGCAGAAACAAACAGCUCUGUUCCGCCCAAAAGAUCCUUCAUAUGUUUACAGGUUUUAAAAGCAUAUCAUUUAUGGUAAAUUUUAAGGACAUAAAAAUUGUGGCGAUGUUGAUGAGAGGAUAUUUUGUUGCAGUGGCUGGAAAAUACACAAAACCAUAGCAAUUUCCCUGGAAGUUCAGACGGUAGAGAUUCUGUCUAGAGUGGCCACCAAGCAUGGUGUGCUGGGAUUAUCUCAUUUAAUUCUCCUGGCAACUCCUUGGCGAAGUUGCUCUUGCCGCCCAGGUUUACAGAGAAGGAAACUCUCCAGGAACAGGCAGCGGGCGAAAGGCAGAGAGAGGAUUUGGAGGCAGGACUCUGCUCCCAAAGUGUGUGCACCUUCACCCACACCUGCCUGCCUCUGAUUUUGCCAUUUGACCUACAUCAGGAAUAAGCCCCGAGGCAGAAAUUUCAGGUCAUCAAGAAAGUUAUGCCUUCCGUACAGAGCAGAAGCUGAUCCAUCAGAGUUACUCCGCUGCUCUUUUACUUUCCGUUCAAAAUAAAAUAUAACACAACACUCAGAUAUUAUCACUGUGCCUGAGUGGUUUUAGCCCUCUACCUGCAAGAUGACUCUGGGCAGAUCUAGAUCACUGCUUUUUUUUUUUUUUUUUUGAGAUU
Molecule: long non-coding RNA, 2275 nt
Organism: Mirounga angustirostris (Northern elephant seal)
Lineage: Eukaryota; Metazoa; Chordata; Mammalia; Carnivora; Phocidae
Exons: 3
Source: RefSeq, a predicted model, not a curated record